Delphinapterus leucas (beluga whale) is the source of this 1632-nucleotide long non-coding RNA. RefSeq lists it as uncharacterized. The record is from RefSeq and is a predicted model, not a curated record. Lineage: Eukaryota; Metazoa; Chordata; Mammalia; Artiodactyla; Monodontidae.
CUGUUUCUCUUUCUUUGGAUAUUGUUGUGGGAAGAUGGGUGCAAAAAAUUUGAGAAGGCCCCAGCAAACUUCCCCUCACGUCUCAUCCGUACAUCUUUGCAGAAGACUUAACCAGGUGUCUUGAAACAACUACUGGUUAGAGGAGGACCCAGUCCUGAAGGUUUUUCAAGAAGAAACUGCCCAUUCCAUAGGCAGGUGGCUCCCUGCUCUGCUGUUUUGGACCUUCAAUCACUAGUGACAUGCCAGCAAUCCACAAAGUCCUAGGUGUCUCUUUUAGCUAUCAUCAUCUGAAAGACAUCUAAAAGGGUUUUUUUUCGUGUUUGAGAGCAUUAGGUUUCAUUUCUUGCAUUCCACAAGAGCUCGGAUGGAGGCAUGUGGAAAAAGAACGAUAAUGAGUAGAAGAUUACGAUACAUACCACGAUUGAGUGCACAUGGAAGUUUCUAAGAGAAUUCAGAGAAUGAAGAGGAGUCUCUGUUCAGGAGGGCUUGAUGGAGAAUGUGGAAUUUGCUCAAGGCUUUUGUUAAGAUUUUGAUAGGAAAACUAUCAUAGGGAAUGGCUAGAAUAGAUUUUAGAAUCAUACAGUAUGUAUCUUGGUUCAUCUUCAAAAUCAGACUGAGCUUUGAAACUAACAGGUUUUAAUCAAAGCUGGCUUUAUAGGAGGAGUAUAAUUUACACACUACUGUUUUAAAACAAUUAGUGUGAGUGUGUGCAUGUGUUUUUGUAUGAUUGAGCCCAAUUAUUGUAAGUCUACACUCAUUAGAAGUAAUGUACCCAUGGAGAUGAGCAAAAUAGUAUGUAGAUGUGAUCUCAAUUUAAAAUAGAAAAAUCGAUUCAAUACACUCUGUAUCAGUCCUUCAAAAAAUAAAAUGAAAUGCUCCAAUAUUGAGAAGUAAUUAAGGUUACCUUUAGUUGUUAAGUCUGUGAACAUAUUUCGUAGGAUAAGUUUGGGAGGCAGCUUUUCAACAUGAGAGCAGAUGUCAGUACAUUUUUUGGAAUGUUCUACUUUGCCUUAUCUUUAUUACAUACAGAAAAAGAAAUAAGACAAAACACAUUUUCAGUCAAAUAAUGUAAUAUAAUAUGGAAAGAACUGACUGUUGUCAACCUGAUAAUCAGGAUAUACUUUCAAGGUUUUUUUUUUAGCCAAUAUAACUAUGAAAUGACAAAAAUACCCUUUUCCAGGAUAUUUAGUGAUUCACUGGAUGAGUCAUACCUUUUAAAAAAUCUCUGCUCCUUUCAUCGUAACUUGGAAAUUUUCCGUAUUAUAAACUGUGUUUUCUUAUGUGACCAUACGAAACAAAGACUAUGUUUGUAAAUCUAGCUUCCACAUGAGUCUACACUAUUAUUGCAACAUGGGUUUAUAUGGUCUGAAAGUAUUUUAUAUUUAUUCUAAAUAACUUGAUUCUUAUCCGAAUUUAAAAAAAUUUGCCCAGAGGUGAGACAAAUUCUUUACCAUGUUAUAGUUUCAAAGUUUUGUGGAAAGACCUGAGGGUCAUGUAGCACACUAGAUGUGGUACGCCAUUGGGUAUGACUUCCCUUGUUGUGUCUUGAAAGCUACUUCUCCUUCCACGGCAGAGUUGCAAAUCAAAAGUGAACUACUAUUUUUUGUGGUAAGUAAACAUUUGGAAAACUGG